UUUCUUUCAAAAAUAGUACACUUCAUCACGGCAGCAACCCGGUACAGCAGCAGCCACGGUGAGGGGGUAUGGAGGGUGUGUAACAUGGUUGGCUACGGAAAUAAAUAACGGGACCGGGACGAAGGAUUUUCAACCAAAGAAAAGCUGAAAAAAAAAAAAAAAAAAAAAACCACGGUGAAAAGAAGGAAGCGGAUACGUCAAGAGAGAAGACACUUUGUUACAGUGCCACACGUUUCAGUGUUGAUGUCGGUAUUUGGACACGAAUACCUGCCGAAAAUAGUCCCGACGUCCAUUGUUGAAGCUCCUCUGUCCUGUGUGACCCCCUGACACAGAGAGGAUGGUGAUGGAGGAGGGGGGUCAGAGAGACAGAGGGAGGGGAACUCCAGCGACAGCAGAAGAAGGGAGACAAAUCUUCAAAGAACUUGGGGAUCAGAACUUGGAUACCAUUUGUCUCUCUACCUAUCGAACAGCCUGCAAGCUCAGAUUCAUACAGAAGAGAUGCAACUUGCACCUGAUCGACAUAUACAAUGUGAUCGAGGCGGUGCGAGACACUGGUCUGAACGCAGUGGAGCUCCAUGCUGGCAUCUCUGUGGUCAGACUGGAGAACCUGGUGUCCUCCCUGUUCAACCAGCUCAGCAAGCGCCUGCCCACCACACAUACCAUCAACGCUCGAGAAAGCACCGUCCUGUUAGUGGAAUUCUUACUGGCUGCCAUUGACAGUGAGCCAGAGAGCCGUCUGACAGUGCUCUCUGUGAAGGCGAUGCUGUCCACACUAUGUGGAGGAAAGCUGAUUGAUAAACUCCGCUAUGUUUUUUCUCAGGUAUCAGACUCCAGUGGUGUUUUGGUACAGUCCAAGUUUGACGGAUUUCUGAGAGAGGCUCUCAAGCUGCCUACAGCUGUACAUGAAGGACCGUCCUUUGGCUACGCACACACUUUAGCCCGCUCAUGCUUCCCUCAACAGAAGAGGGUGAUGCUCAACAUGUUCCUGGACGUCAUCGCUGACCCUCCUCAGUGUCUUGUCUGGCUGCCUCUCAUGCACCGCAUGGCCAACGUGGAGCAUGUCCGUCAUCCGGUCACGUGCUCCUAUUGUCGCGGCAAUGGCAUGACUGGCUUCCGUUAUCGCUGCCUACGUUGCCGUGGUUACCAGCUCUGUCAGGACUGCUUUUGGCGCGGCAAUGCCAGCGGCUCUCACAGCAGUCAGCAUCAGAUGAAGGAGCACUCCUCCUGGAAGUCACCAGCGACAAAGCUUGGCCGAGCCCUGAGCAGGACUCUGGGCUGUGUGUCGUCCAGAGAGCCCCCUCACCCCAUUUACCCCGAGGAGCCCGAAAGGACCCUCAACCUUGCCAACAUAGUCCCCACUCGUCCCGUUAAAAACACCAGUGAGGCCAUGUUGCUGUCCUCAUCGGCACCUGAGUCCUCCAAAAGUUUGGCAGCUGCUCAGCGUAUGAAUGAGGAACACGCUCUGAUAGCUGCAUAUGUGAAUCGUCUUCAAAGCAGCCCAAGUAGUGUGGACAGUCCCAGCCGGCAGGAUGAGGAGCACAAACUGAUCGCCCGCUACACCUCCCGACUGGCAGAGACAGACAGCUCUGGAGUGAUACCUAACAGAAGCAUCAACUUCGAUGUGAACAAACAGAAGAGGGAGCUCAUCGCUCAGCUGGAGUGCAAAAACAGAGAGAUUCUGGCAGAGAUCAAAUGUCUCCGUGCACAGCAUGACGCAGCAUGCCAGGCCAGCCCAGAGAAGGGCACCACCAACCCGACUCUGCUCGCCGAGCUCCGUCUGCUCAGACAAAGGAAAGAUGAGCUGGAGCAGAGGAUGUCGUCUCUGCAAGAAAGCAGGAGGGAGCUGAUGGUACAACUGGAGGGACUGAUGAAGCUGCUCAAGGAUGAGGAACAGCGACAGGCAGCACAGGCAGCUGGCUCUUCUCACGCCUCUCCUUCCAGACCGAGCCCGUCAACCGUCCGCUCUGUAGGUGCUGCCUCUCCCCAGGUUCACAUGUACCCUCCUCAAGACUCCCUCGCUGGGGUGGGGGGCGACGUACAAGAAGCAUUCGCUCAAGGCCCCAGAAGGAACCUGAGGAACGACCUUCUGGUAGCAGCCGACUCCAUCACCAACACUGUGUCCUCCCUGGUCAAAGAGCUACACUCUGAUGAUGUUCGUGAGGAAGAGGAGAGACUGCUGAAUGGGAAGGACAGAGAGAAACCUCAGUAAAACCUCAGCAUGGCUGUGCACAACUCCAACAUCUGUGUGUGUGUCAGGCUAAAAUGAUCGCAGGACAAACAAGAACGGUGAACGGCAGAGUGAAGUUUCAUCACGGAGAGAGGAGACUGACCCUGCUGUGAUGAAAUGACAGCUUAUGCAUAGUUAGCCAAUGGGGAUUAGAGCUCCCCUGCCAAUCAACCAAUCACGAUGCUGGACACCAAAUGACCGCGGGGUCCCUACUGAUGUAAAGCUGUUGAUUCUGUGUGUGUCGUGUCACUGUACUUUUGAUUUGAUCACCGUAGCUAAACAGGGAAAUCUGAAACCUACUGAUUUGUACUGUAGCAUGUGAGUGUGUUUUGUGUGCGCUCUGCAUUUUCAAAGUUCCAGUAGGUGGGAGGGAUGUUGUGAAGAGACAGAAAGAUGCAUUUAGGAAGCGUGUGAAGUAAAAGGAGCGGGAAAGUUUCAGAGGGAUACGGGAUGUUGCCGGAUUGAAAAGAAAAGUGAGGAACGAACGAAGGAGAGUCAAAAGGACGAUAAGUGAGUUUUAACGUUUUAAGUUUCGGCACUGUGUGCUUCGUAUUUAUUGCUUUGAUUUGACUUUGGCUGUUUAUUCUUUUUGGUUUAAAUGUUUAUGUGAGUGUGGUCGGGCCCUGCUGAGAUGAUAAGCUUUAAUGGGACGUUUCCUGGCUCCUCACUCUGGCUGCAGCGAUGCAGGGUGGAGAGUUGAAGUCCCAGUCGUGCUCCAUGUUUCUGAAACCUGGAUGAGAUUAGAUUAGCUCAUUGGUGCUGUUAUGAUCACAGCUCAGGUUGUCCAGGCUUUUCUGUGUAUCUUGGUACUGCAGCGGGACUCCCGUCAGAGAAGUUAUUUGAUUACUUUGUGUGUGUGUGUGUGUGUGUGUGUGUGUGUGUGUGUGUGUGUGUGUGUGUGUGUGUGUGUGUGUGUGUUUGUAAGAGAGAGAGAGAGAGAGAAUAUAAAACAAUUGGCUUCAAACAGGGUCAUUGUAGCACAGUAGAUGGAGAAAUUGGCUCCAAAAGUAUUUAUUGACAUUUUUUAAUGGUCAGUUUACCAAAAAUGUCCCAACCCGAGUCUCCCAAGAUAAAACAUUAGAAAUUUUUUAAAAAAGCAAAAACAUUUGUUUCCCAAAAAGGUUUUUAUUUUCUUCUGAAUUCACUCCAUUUGAACCCUUUUGUUAUCAGCGUUUUUUUUUAAACUUUCACAUCUUCAGGACUCAAAAACGUAAAUGUUAGAUUGAGUUUAAAGAGAAAAACAAGCAUGUUAAGAACAACAAAAGAAGAAACUUCAAAACCCUGCAAAGAGCAAGCUCAACUUUUAGUAGGCAGGUUGGGCUUCAGUUCAGUGUUAACACAGUAAUCCUAAAAAAACAAAAACAAGAUUAAUGAUCGAGAGUACCAAAGAUAGAAAACAAUCUACAACACAAAAGUGUACAAACAAGUCCAGAUUCAGAUUUCUUUUGCCUUUUUUCCAUCCUGACAUGCAGAUCAGGGCUAAUCGUAGCAAAACUGUAUCAGAGCGAUGACAUCACAGAUAAGGGCCACAGCUUUAGUUCACAGUGAAUGAGCUUCAUUUAAAAAUCACUGAUCUGCCACUGAUAAAAUACUGUAGUGCUCACAGUUUACAGUAUAGAUUCAAAAUGUUAAACUUCUUUGAAAGCAAAAUCUCUCUCCUAUGAUCACCAUGUUAAUUAAAGAAACAGUCGCUGUGUUUUUAUUAGAACGUUACAGUGGUAAAAUAAUAACCCUCAUUAAUCAAGGCAUCGUUGAAGCUCUGCCCACUAAGGAUUGUGGCUUUAAAGUUUUGUGCCCUACCUGUAUGAGUUGGUCUGACGUAUGGAAAAGAGCCAGAAAAGAAAAAUCAAACUUCUUGGUUGUGUUCACACUGAAGCAGAAUUGGAAGCUUUGUGACUGAAUGUUUUUCUGACUGAUUCUUUUGGAGUCGUCAUUUGACCUUUUAUGAUUACAAGUUUUGAGCAAAGGAAAUUCAACCAAAGUGUUUAGUUUUCAUUUUCAUUAAAUAACGCUAUCCUUGCAGGAAAAUAAAAGAAUAGUUUUUAGUUGUUUCUAAACACUGCCUGCACCGUAUCACUCCUCACACUCUGCUGAUCUUUGAUGCCUUAAAAAGCUUUCUGUGAAUGUCGACCACACGUAGCAUCCCGAAACGCCUUCAGGCUGAUGCUCUGUAUGCAAAUCAAACAUGACCCAAAGUGACUAUCUGAGCCUUUGUCAGGACAGGUUGAUAUAUUUUCAUAUAACAGGCGUGAGAUAAUUAAAUUCAAAUAAGGUUUUUUUUAUUUCUGAGUUUUGUUUGGUUCUUAUCAGAAGCUGUACUUUAUUGUUUUGUCCAUUUGGAUCAGUUGGACAUAAUUGUUUUUUCAUCUCUAAAGACUCCACCAGCCCUUCACAUGAUUUGACUGCUUAUGACAUUAAACGUUGGCGUAUGAUUGACAGGCUGUGUGAGUGAUUUCAGAAAUGACUGAGCUCGUGUUUGGGUGUGUUUGCGUGAAAGAAAGAGAGAGUGAGGGAAAAAAAAAAAAAAAUCAAGACUGACAGGACAGACGUGUCCGAACAUGAAGCUGUUAACAACUUCAGCUCUGAAUCUGACAGAGCUGACUGAGUGAAAAGUGUUGAUGUAUCUGUGUUUCAUCUGCAAUAAAUAAUAUUUAACGUCAA
RNA transcript from Labrus bergylta (ballan wrasse), 4888 nucleotides. It is a transcript of the gene named dystrobrevin, beta a, with no coding region annotated. Lineage: Eukaryota; Metazoa; Chordata; Actinopteri; Labriformes; Labridae. The record is from RefSeq and is a predicted model, not a curated record.